This 274-nucleotide ribosomal RNA is filed under the name uncultured bacterium. RNAcentral's name for it is "partial 16S ribosomal RNA". It matches the Rfam family "Bacterial small subunit ribosomal RNA", at positions 523 to 796 of the family's 1533-position model. The record is from RNAcentral.
AUACGAAGGGGGCAAGCGUUGUUCGGAAUAACUGGGCGUAAAGCGCACGUAGGCGGAAUGUUAAGUUAGAGGUGAAAUCCCAGGGCUCAACCCUGGAACGGCCUUUAAUACUGGCAAUCUAGAGACCGAGAGAGGUGAGUGGAAUUCCGAGUGUAGAGGUGAAAUUCGUAGGUAUUCGGAGGAACACCAGUGGCGAAGGCGGCUCACUGGCUCGGUACUGACGCUGAGGUGCGAAAGCGUGGGGAGCAAACAGGAUUAGAUACCCCAGUAGUCC